RNAcentral lists this ribosomal RNA (252 nucleotides) under uncultured bacterium. Its description in RNAcentral is "partial 16S ribosomal RNA". It matches the Rfam family "Bacterial small subunit ribosomal RNA", at positions 524 to 776 of the family's 1533-position model. The record is from RNAcentral.
UACGUAGGGUGCAAGCGUUGUCCGGAAUCAUUGGGCGUAAAGCGCGCGUAGGCGGCCCGAUAAGUCCGCUGUAAAAGUCAACGGCUCAACUGUUGAAAGCCGGUGGAUACUGUCGGGCUAGAGUACGGAAGAGGCAAGUGGAAUUCCUGGUGUAGCGGUGGAAUGCGCAGAGUAUCAGGAGGAACACCUAUAGCGAAGGCAGCUGCUGGGACGUACUGACGCUAAGGCGCGAAAGCGUGGGGAGCGAACAGG